CCACCUGCCUGCGGGGUGCGGGGGAGCUCGGUUUCAGCAAACUCUGCAGCAGAGGAAAAUCAGAUCCACCUGCCUGCGGGGUGCGGGGGAGCUCGCUUUCAGCAAACUCUGCAGCAGAGGAAAAUCAGAUCCACCUGCCUGCGGGGUGCGGGGGAGCUCGCUUUCAGCAAACUCUGCAGCAGAGGAAAAUCAGAUCCACCUGCCUGCGGGGUGCGGUGGAGCUCUGUUUUAUGCCUUGAAAUGCAUUUGCGGCAUCCCGUUGUAAAACUGCCCGUGAACGCAGCGUCAGGCGCUCGUUUAAACAGGAAGAGAGACUGCUAGCAAUUUGCAAGUUUACGUGAAAAGCUUUGUGAUUUUCCAACACCCUGAGUAGUUCUAGCCAAAAUGCGUGAUUGGCCUCACACUAGACGCUUGCUGUAAUUGUGUCUCUGUAUUAAAUUGACCGUCCUUUGGAGCUUCAGAAUGGACCAGGAGGAAAAGGUAAAUACCAAGCUCGCUACAACCUCAGAGGCAUCAACGCCCUCCUGCUACAGACGCAUCUGUUCUCACCUGGCUCCUGCCAGCUGCCCUGGGAGAGGCCACAAAAUGCCCUCCAUGGACAGAAGACCUGAGAACCUUCGGGGCUCCUGCUGUCACUCACUGUGUUGAAGAACCGCCCGGUCAGCACGCUGGGCCCUAUACACAUACACACACGGCUCUGCGGAGGACGAGGAAGGGCCGUCAGAUGAGACUUCACCGUGAAAAAUGUGCAGAGACACAACAAUCUCGCUGAAUGAAAACUACAGACUCUAAUUUAUAAAAACUGUCUGUUUCAAAAGCCCCAAAUGUUUACAUUCUCCGAUUCAUCAUUCCUUCUUCUAAUUUAUUUUAGGAAAUAAUGCAAAGUACUCACAAAAAAAAUUUAUACAGAAAGAUGUUCAUUGCAGAAUUCAUUAUAAUAAAGAAAACCUGAGUA
Homo sapiens (human) is the source of this 955-nucleotide long non-coding RNA. The record is from Ensembl. NCBI's taxonomy places the organism in Eukaryota, Metazoa, Chordata, Mammalia, Primates, Hominidae.